CCUACGGGAGGCAGCAGUGAGGAAUAUUGGUCAAUGGACGGAAGUCUGAACCAGCCAUGCCGCGUGCAGGAUGACGGCUCUAUGAGUUGUAAACUGCUUUUGUACGAGAAUAAUAGUUCUUACGUGUAGGGAUUUGAAUGUAUCGUACGAAUAAGGAUCGGCUAACUCCGUGCCAGCAGCCGCGGUAAUACGGAGGAUGCGAGCGUUAUCCGGAUUUAUUGGGUUUAAAGGGUGCGCAGGCGGAAGAUCAAGUCAGCGGUAAAAUUGAGAGGCUCAACCUCUUCGAGCCGUUGAAACUGGUUUUCUUGAGUGAGCGAGAAGUAUGCGGAAUGCGUGGUGUAGCGGUGAAAUGCAUAGAUAUCACGCAGAACUCCGAUUGCGAAGGCAGCAUACCGGCGCUCAACUGACGCUCAUGCACGAAAGUGUGGGUAUCGAACAGGAUUAGAUACCCUUGUAGUC
RNAcentral lists this ribosomal RNA (459 nucleotides) under uncultured bacterium. Its description in RNAcentral is "partial 16S ribosomal RNA". It matches the Rfam family "Bacterial small subunit ribosomal RNA", at positions 338 to 795 of the family's 1533-position model. The record is from RNAcentral.